Molecule: small RNA, 242 nt
Filed under: Arabidopsis thaliana (thale cress)
Lineage: Eukaryota; Viridiplantae; Streptophyta; Magnoliopsida; Brassicales; Brassicaceae
Description: ATSL156030
Source: RNAcentral
AAAAUGAACCAAUAGAUCUAGGGAUGUAUAAUCAUAGGAAAAGAGUGAAGAGGUGAAGGAGAGCUAAGGAGAAGGGAGGAAUGAAGGAAGAAUCAAGGAAGAGGAAGAGGUAAGAGAAGAGAGCGAAGAGGAUGAAGAAAAUAGAAAUUAGGGUUUGAUUUUUAUUUUGAGCUUUUUUCUUAUUUUGGGCUAAGUAUUGGCGGCAUAGGGAAAAUAUUUGGUUAAUGUUGGCGAUUAUAAGU